CGCGAGCUGGGUUCAGAACGAUGUAAAUCAGUUCGGUCUCUAUCCAGAGCAAGCGAAUAAGAUUUGAGGGGAGUCCUUGACAGUACGAGAGGACCUCGAGGAAGCAAUCCCUGGUGUGCCGGUUGUAAGUCCAAAAGACUGCAUCGCCGGGUAGCCACAUUGCGUCGGGAUAAGCGCUGAAAGCAUAUAAGCGCCAAGCCCACCCCAAGAUUAGAUCUUAUCUCCCGACCUAAAGUCGGGAAAUGGUUUCCUGAAAGAUGAUCAGGCCUCUUCGUAAGAAGAGUCCCGUCUGAUGAUGAGCGCAAGCGAGUCGGAAGGGCGGGAGAUAGACCGACGGUGUAAGCUUCGUAAGAAGUUUAGCCUAUCGGCACUAAUAAACCAUAAAAUAGCUUGGG
This 395-nucleotide ribosomal RNA is filed under the name bacterium. Its description in RNAcentral is "partial 23S ribosomal RNA". It matches the Rfam family "Bacterial large subunit ribosomal RNA", at positions 2599 to 2925 of the family's 2925-position model. The record is from RNAcentral.